Molecule: transfer RNA, 92 nt
Filed under: Dactylonectria macrodidyma
Lineage: Eukaryota; Fungi; Ascomycota; Sordariomycetes; Hypocreales; Nectriaceae
Description: Ilyonectria macrodidyma tRNA
Rfam family: tRNA
About the family: Transfer RNA (tRNA) molecules are approximately 80 nucleotides in length. Their secondary structure includes four short double-helical elements and three loops (D, anti-codon, and T loops).
Source: Rfam by way of RNAcentral
GUCACUUUGGCGGAGUGGUUAACGCGCAGCCCUGCUAUGUUGCAUAUAAGGCUGUGACUUCGGUCGCGUAGGUUCGAAUCCUGCAGGUGACG